GCCAGCAUGGUGUAGUGGUUUGAGCUAAGACUAUGACUCUGGAGAUCAGGGUUCAAUUCCUUGCUUGGCC
Molecule: non-coding RNA, 70 nt
Organism: Phrynosoma platyrhinos (Desert horned lizard)
Lineage: Eukaryota; Metazoa; Chordata; Lepidosauria; Squamata; Phrynosomatidae
Source: the annotation of a GenBank genome assembly